AUUGAACGCUGGCGGCAGGCUUAACACAUGCAAGUCGAGCGAGCGGCGGACGGGUGAGUAAUGUCUGGGAAACUGCCUGAUGGAGGGGGAUAACUACUGGAAACGGUAGCUAAUACCGCAUAACAUCAGAUGUGCCCAGAUGGGAUUAGCUAGUAGGUGGGGUAAUGGCUAACCUAGGCGACGAUCCCUAGCUGGUCUGAGAGGAUGACCAGCCAAACUGGAACUGAGACACGGUCCAGAUCCCUAGGGGGGGCAGCAGUGGGGAAUAUUGCACAAGGGGCGCAAGCCUGAUGCAGCAAUGCCGGGUGUGGGAAGAAGGCUUGCGGGUUGUAAAGCACUUCCAGCGAGGAGGCGUUACUCGCAGAAGAAGCACCGGCUAACUCCGGGCAAGCAGCCGCGUAAUUC
Molecule: ribosomal RNA, 405 nt
Filed under: uncultured bacterium
Lineage: Bacteria
Description: partial 16S ribosomal RNA
Rfam family: Bacterial small subunit ribosomal RNA
Source: RNAcentral